UACGGAGGGUGCAAGCGUUGUUCGGAAUCAUUGGGCGUAAAGCGCGUGUAGGCGGCUUGGCAAGUCAGUUGUGAAAGCCCGGGGCCCAACCCCGGAACUGCAUCUGAAACUGCCUGGCUAGAGUCCCGGAGAGGAAGGCAGAAUUCCCGGUGUAGCGGUGAAAUGCGCAGAUAUCGGGAGGAACACCAAUGGCGAAGGCAGCUCGCUGGGACGGUACUGACGCUGAGACGCGAAAGCGUGGGGAGCAAACAGG
Molecule: ribosomal RNA, 253 nt
Filed under: uncultured bacterium
Lineage: Bacteria
Description: partial 16S ribosomal RNA
Rfam family: Bacterial small subunit ribosomal RNA
Source: RNAcentral